RNAcentral lists this ribosomal RNA (582 nucleotides) under uncultured bacterium. RNAcentral describes it as "bacterial SSU rRNA". It matches the Rfam family "Bacterial small subunit ribosomal RNA", at positions 102 to 694 of the family's 1533-position model. The record is from RNAcentral.
AAGGGUGAGUAAGGCGACGGUAACCAACCCCACGGUUGGGUAUAGCCGCGGGAAACUGCGGGUAAUCCCCAGCGAUGUAAGAUGUCGGCAUCGGUGUUUUAUCAAAGCUCCGGCGCCGUGGGACGGGCCGUCGUGGUAUUAGGUAGUUGGCGGGGUAACGGCCCACCAAGCCGAUGAUGCCUACCGGGCGUGCGAGCGUGGCCCGGCACACUGGGACUGAGACACUGCCCAGACUCCUACGGGAGGCUGCAGUCGAGAAUCUUCGGCAAUGGGCGCAAGCCUGACCGAGCGACGCCGCGUGGAGGACGAAGGCCUUCGGGCUGUAAACUCCUGUCGAGGGGGAGGAAGGGGCAACCUUGACCGAUCCCUGGAGGAAGCACGGGCUAAGUUCGUGCCAGCAGCCGCGGUAAGACGAACCGUGCGAACGUUAUUCGGAAUCACUGGGCUUAAAGCGCGUGUAGGCGGAUGGGAACGUCGGUAGUUGAAAGCCCCCGGCUCAACCGGGGAAGUGGUGCCGAAACGACCUGUCUGGAGGGACGUAGGGGGACCUGGAACUUCCGGUGGAGCGGUGAAAUGCGUUGA